UUUAUAUUUUUUGAUAUAAAGUUAGUCAAACCUUACAAAGCUUGACUUUGACCAAACCUUAUAUGCAGACUAAAAAGAAACGGAGGGAGUAUAUUAAUUUUAUAUCAGAAUCAUUGCAUCGAUACAUACACAUUCAGGACAUAGGAAUUGGUUCACGAAACAACAAAAGGCUUCAGUCCAAAAUCAAGCUAUACAUAGACCAAAAGGCUUUAGUCCAAAAGCAAGCCAAGACUAUCCAUUGUAAUAUAACAAAUACAAUAACCAGGUCAUGGCAUGUGUUGAUCAAGCAAGAUGCAAUGCGAGAUAAUAAAACUUCUUAGUUAGGUUAUUAUAGCCUAAUACUUGAUAGCUCGACCGGGUUGUCUCCUUGAUUAAAUCGUUACACGUCACGACCUUUGCGCUUUAGUGCCUCUCCGAAGAAAGUCACAGAAUACCUCAUGUUCGCGCCCUUGACUCUGCCUUCUCAACACGAAAGAAAUGACGGAAGCACUUGUCGUGGCUAGUUACCGUGAAGGAAGAAUGGUGUUGCGGGGUGACCAGUCCGUCGCCGCCGCCGCUUGCCUGGUAUGACUCAUGAGAUAGGAUACAUGAAUUAAGCCACAAUCAACAUCAUUGUUUUGUUUUCAAAUUCAGGGGCAGCAAGCAAAGCAAUAUUAAUUCUCUCCGAGAUGGACAUGUUCUCAUGUUCUAUCUAUUAGUAUAGUUAUCCAAGGAAAUCCUAGGAAUAACAGAUGGACAUGGAUAAUUUAAUAAACAACAAUGAACAAUGAAUUUAUGAACAAAGUGGAGCAGUAUUACUGAGCAAUAAAUUUCUUGAAAAACCAAAGUGAAGGUACUGAGAGAGAACUCUAACAUCACAGUAAGCCAAAACUGCUUGAACUGAACAUAUUUAAUUAACUAAAAAAAUGUAAAGGCAUGUCUGAUCCUACUACUAUCCAAUUGAGGAACUGACACUAUUUCCCUAGUCCCCACAGCAAACACAACACCCACAUCCAAUUCUGGAAGAUUCAUUUUAAUUAUUUUUCAUGCUUUAUCCCUUAAAUAUACUAAAAAGAUGAGAACUGGAGAAGUCCCUGCUCCAUCAGUCAGGAUCUCAAGUUCUUUUUGUUGCUGUCGGGAUCCUAAGUUAGGUAGUAGUACUUGUGUACCAUCCAAUUGGCUCGCUCAGCUUGAAUAAUCAAUAUUUGUUUAAAGGUUUUGCUAUAUACUGCUCGACUAAAAUAUCGAUCGGUGGUGUUCAUACAGGUUUUGUUUUUCGUUCAUAAAUGGUUAAGAAAGAAAGUGACAUAUGUGGCUAAUCAUAUCCUUGGUAUUUUUUUUAAAUCACCUGGGAGACAUAUAUCAAAUUUGAUUUAUACUUACUAUUUUCAUAGAUCAACGUGGAUGUGAGACCAUCUUCUUCAAGCUCUGAAAGCUGUCUCCUGCAGGGCUCCUUCCUCGUCAUCACUUUGCGGGUGCCCUCCAUUCUUUUCAUCACCAGCUUCAUUUUUCAACCUCAUCCCCUCUUCCCAAAUAUGAAGAAAAAUGCCCGCAAUGCUAGCGCAACCUGCGCAGAAUCAACUGAAAUGUAUGAGCAAGAUACAGCACACCCAAGUUUUAGUAAGCUAAGAAUGAAAUAAUGUAUGUUUUGUCAAGCUAGCAAAAAUAGUAAAUCAUUCCAGCUAGUGUUUUUAUUUCCAUUCAUGAGUAGUUGACACCAAGUUAUCUUUUCUCUUUCUUGGUGUGAGACUGCACCUACAUAUUCAAUUUUCUGUCGAGCUCAUGUAGGAAUCUGAGUAUGUAGGUAACUAACACCAAGACUAUCUUUUCUCUUUCUUUGUUUGAGACAGCACCUACAUAUGGGCCGCUGCCUUAAUGUUUGGUCAAGUGAUGUACACACUAAAUUUGUUUGCUGAAGCCACUACCGAAGCUCACUAUUUGAUAAUAUGAACAGAAAGAAUCAUAUAGUUCAAAUUAUGUUUCGACUGGAUUAGGAAGCAGAGGAAUAUAUCAUAUUGAGGGAAUGUAAAAGCAUUACUUGCACGAUGGAAGCGAUGAAGAAAUACUUGCUAGUGUUUGCAAAACCAGUUCAACUUCGCUGCCAUCUAUUUUCACUUAUCCAGAGACAGAACCAAGCACCCAGAGUUGUUCUGCAUCAAAGGAAAUAAAUGACAUAGUGAUACAGGUAUCCCCUUGACCCAGUACUUCGACGAAAAGCAUACAAAUGUGGAUAGUAAUCUGACACUGAAAAAAUUCAUAGAAAUUAAGCAGGUAAAGAAUAAUAUGGGAAACCAAACAUAAUCUUUACUUGUGUUUUCUAUAAAAAUGGCUAAAAAUUCAUAGCAAUUAACAGUGAGGGAUACACUAAUGAGGGAACUCUUAAAAUGAAUAAAUCACCUCACAUAAUCUUUACUUGUGUGUUUCUAUAAAAAAACAAUCUGUACUUAUUAGUUAAAGGCCUUCACAAUAUAGUCCAUUUCAUGUUGAGCUCCUAUCCCUUCCCAUCUACACUGAUGAUAGCAGAAAUAUUUAAAAUUAGCAAAAAAAUUAAAACUAAUAAGUUUUGUCUAGGACAGAAAGGAUUGAUAGCACAAAUAUUUUAAACCGGCAAAUUAAACUCAUUAUAUAAUGCGCAGACCUGAGCUAGGGACUAAAAUGAAUAUAUUUUCAUAAAAGGGUUACUAUCACCUACACUGUACAGAGGAAGAACUAAUUAAGGACAUAUAUUUUGGCCCCUAACAUUAAAAAAUCAAGGAAUGCACAUCAAGGAUAUUCUGAUUUACAUGGAAUAUUAUAAAACAUAUAAGUCGUAACAAAUUAUAGCAAGAACACAAUCUGUAGUUACGCAUCAAGAUGGUAUAGCUUGCAAUAAACUCCCAAAUAACUGGUUUAUGGAAAAAGAUUAAACGACACCAGGUUUACAUCAUCAAGUUACAUGAACUAAUGAUCAGGGGGAAAUGGCAUGCAUUUCAAAUAAAUAAAUUCAAUUUCCACCGUUGUCUUGAUAGAAUUUGAGCAAAUCAUAGUGUAAGAAUUAUAAAAGCAAGAUGAACUGAUCAAUCAACGGAACAGGACAUACCUUGUUUACCGGUGGCGCCAUGGACCCAAAAGCUUGUGCGCUUGUCGCCGGAGUAGCGGAGAAAAGCUUCCUCCGUGUGAGUGAAUCCAUCACACGUCGAGAGACCAUGCCGUCAUGAAAAUAAGAUGACAACGCUGCAUCAAAUUGAUAGAUACACAUCAGAUCAGCAAGAUGGGUACGAUGGCGAAAGAAGAGAAAAGAAAGGAGCCAACUACCAACACAGUACAUGUCACGCCCAAUAUGCGACCCUAUCCAAAAGGAACUCGAAGGUCCCACCAAGGAUAGACCCGCAUAUUGAAACGCUUUUGCAAAGUGGAUAUCAUUACAUCAACAUUACAUAAUAGAUAGGGAUACAUACAAAAGGCAUACAAUGCCACACGAAUACAGCAUCACAAUACAUAAGAGCAUCAUCCGACUACGGAUGAAACACAAACAGAAACUCAAACGACAUCCACCCUGCUAGCCCAGGCUGCCGACCUGGAACCUAUCCCCUGAUCGAAGAAGGAGCAGAAGAAGAACUCCAAAACAAGCAAACAUCGCUCUCGCGUCAUGAUCAUCGCAUAACCUGUACCUGCAACUGUUGUUGUACUAAUCUGUGAGCCACGAGGACUCAGCAAUCCCAUUACCAUGGAUAUCAAGACUAGCAAAGCUUAACGGGAAAGGAAGGGGUAAAGUGGUGAGGUUGCAGCACCGACUAAGCAUAUGUGGUGGCUAACAUACGCAAAUAAGAGCGAGAAGAGAGCAAGCGGAACGUUCGUGAAACUAGCAAUGAUCAAGAGGUGAUCCUGAACACCUACUUACGUCAAACAUAACCCAAAAACCGUGUUCACUUCCCGGACUCCGCCGAGAAGAGACCAUCACGGCUACACACGCGGUUGAUGCGUUUUAAUUCGGAUCUGGUUUCAAGUUAUCUACAACCGGACAUUAACAAAUUCCCAUCUGUCACAUAACCAUGGGCACGGCUUUCGAAAGUUUAUACCCUGCAGGGGGUAUCCCAACUUAGCCCAUGAUAAGCUCUCGCGAUCAACGAAGGAUAUACCUUCUCCCAGGAAGACCCGAUCAGACUCGGAAUCUCGGUUACAAGACAUUUUGACAAUGGUAAAACAAGACCAGCAAGACCUCCCGCUGUGCCGACAAAUCCCGAUAGGAGCUGCACAUAUCUCGUUCUCAGGGCACACCGGAUAAGCUAAGCGUACAGGUACCGACGUAAUCCAAGUUGCCAAGGAAUGGUCCCGCACGAUGCUCUAGUUUGGACCAACACUCGGAGGAGCACUGGCCCGGUGGGGUAAAAUAAAGAUGACCCUCGGGCUUUGGAAAUCCAAGGGAAAAAGGGCUAGGUGAGGCAAAUGGUAAAACCAAGGUUGAGCCUUGCUGGAGGAGUUUUAUUCAAAGCGAACUGUCAAGGGGGUCCCGUAAAUCACCCAACCGCGUAAGGAACGCAAAAUCCGGGAACAUAACACCGGUAUGACGGAAACUAGGGCGGCAAGAGUGGAACAAAACACCAGGCAUAAGGCCGAGUCUUCCACCCUUUACCAAGUAUAUAGAUGCAUUAAUAAUAUAAGAAAUAUUGUGAUAUCCCAACAUAAUCGUGUCCACCAUGGAGCAAUCUUCAACUUCACCUGCAACUAACAACGCUAUAAAAGGGGCUGAGUAAAGCGGUAACAUAGCCAAGCAACGGUUUGCUAGGAAGGGUAGUUUUCGGACGCGCGAGAGGGGGUCUUUACUGUGCAAAGAGGGGUCAAACGGUCGGGCAACAAAAGAAUGGUUGGUCUAAGAAAGGUCAGCGGACGCAACGGAGAGAAGCGAGAAGCGGCAACUACGAGCGGAUGCAAGUUUUAAGAAAACAAAGCAGAUGCAAAGCGCAUGAUGCCAAGAUGAAAUGCAACAACAACACCAAUAAAACACACGGCAGUCACGCAAAACAUGGAAGGCAUCUGGAGCGCCGGUCUUGGGGCGUUACAACACUCCACCACUACGAGAGGAUCUCGUCCCGAGAUCUAGGAUGGCACCGGAGAGAAACGAAAGAGGAAGAGAAGAGGUAAACUAUGUUGCUUCUUCGACAAAUGAGUGAAACCAAAGAACUUUGAGAGGUUGAAAAGUGGAGAGAAAGAACACAACGGAGUUGAACACAAUCGAUAGCACUGCGGUAGAAAAUAGAAACAAGGAACACCAUGUGUACCUUGGAGGUUGCAAAGCUAUGAAUGAAGAGUACAAUGGACAAGAAAGAAUUGAGACCACUCUGGUUGAAACGAGAUAAACAAGGAACAAGAAAUAUCAAAUUCGGACAGCACUCCAGUUAAAAUUGGAAGGAUAGAAUAUGAACUUGGCAAAAUGAAAGCACUUGGAUGAGACUCCGGUUAAAAGAGGAAUGAUCGACACAACACUCCGGUUAAAUGGAUAAGCAAUAAAAGAACACGAUCCUCACAAUCCAAGAUGAUGAGUGAAGGGAGCAACGUCACCAUGCCUCCGGAAGAACGAAAAGAAGAUAGAUCAUUGGGAUAAAAGAACGGAGAAGAAAAUGCCAACUUCUGCCACAAAUGAGCUUGGAAAACACCCUUCCAAGAAGGUUACAACGGGGUUGUUGGAAAAUCCACAACGAAACGAAUAGGCUUGUAGUGGGCUUAUGAAAAACAUCUCAAGACUAUGAGGUGACAUUCUGCCACUAACGAAAACAAUUGCUUGCUUUGAGAUCAACGAAGAGAUGAAAACUUCUUCCACCAAGAGGAUAAAGAGCAAGCUUGGGUCAUGCAUAAUCACCACAAAUAGCAACAACCCUUAAGGAAAGGCUUUAGGUGAAGUCUGACACAAGAUAACUCCAACGAAGAAGUUGAUUGGUCAAAAAGAUCUCUUGAACAAAGAGAAAAUGAUGGAUUUAAAUAUCUCAUUCCGGACAACCUGUGAAUCAUGAAACACGAGGAGAAAUUGCCAAGAGUGACAUAACACCAUCUCAAGAGAUAAGGUAGAAAGAAUUGCACUUGGGAAUGCAAGAAGAAGAAUACUUGAGCUCCUCAAAACAAAAAGUGUGUUGAACACCAUGUUUAUUUUAGAGUACAGCUUGGCGGGUCAUAACUUCGAGAGAAAUCUUGAAGAACAAUUGAAGAAUGAAGAGAAUCCUUGACAAACCACCAUGUAGAGCCUCCAUGAAGAACUCCGGUAAUAAAAAGGAUGAUAGAAAGAAAGGGAAGUUGAAAACACAAGGUGAAGCCUUGCAAUGAUUUAGAUGGAGCUUCGCGACGAUAAUGCGGAAAAUUUGGAACUCCGGAAAAGAAAAGAUGAAGCAUCUCGAACCGAGAAAUGUGACAUGAUGAAUAACUCUGGAAAGAAGAAACAAGAUCACUUGGAUGAAACAAUAAUAAGAAUUACGUUAUGCGUAUCCUUCACCAAUUUAAAUUGAUGACAAGCAACAGAUUUGUCAUACUACUUGUUCUUCUUGAGGGAUUAAGGAUAGAGAUAGCGCAAACUUGAGAAGGUAUUGGUGGAACCACCGGUGGGAUUUGAAAACAAUGAAUGAAUUGAUAGCAAGGAAGAGGAAUCUCGAACGAACCACCGUAAGAAUUGAAAAUGAAAGUAGCAAAGGCAUAAUUCAACGGAAAGAAUUGGAAAACGAAUUAAGAUACUUGAGGGAUUUAGAUACAUGGGAACAAAGAGAACAUGAACUGAUUAGAGGAUAUUUGAACGAUUCACUGGUAAGAUUUGAAGAACGGUAGCUACACGCUGAGAAUGAAGAAUUAUGACAUGAUGGCCUUCGUAGGAAUAAAAUGGAAAGAACUCACGUAAUGCUUCGGAUGGGUGAAAAGAAUUGUCACAACCAAAACAAUUAUGAGGAUAGCAUCAAGCUUGAACUACGAAUAUUCAAGAGAAUGGACCAAGAUUUAGAGGAAAAACUCUUCUUCGGUCUUUAAAUGACGAAGGAAAACACCACGAAAAUUACUGAGAUACUCCGGUAGAAUGGAAAGGAAAGAGGUUGAGCCAACAAUGAAAUGAUUUGAAAGCGAUCUUGGAGAAGGCAUGUGACUAAUGAAAUUCAUUCUUACGUCACACUUGAAAAUAAUUUGAGAAUAACUCCGGAAGAAUUAGAAGAGUCAGGUAAGAUCCUGGAAAAAGACCUGUGGGUUAGGGCCCACUCAAAAGAUACACCAUUGAACGAUUGAUUGAUACGGGUGAUUGCACCGGUUGAAUUAAAUGACUUGAAUGAGAUAACAAUCUCCAAAUAGCUUGAACAGAUUAAGAAUGGAAACACAAGUCUUCCGAGAUAUCUUCAACACUCCGGAUAUGAACUGGGAGAGGUGAAUAAAUAAGGGAGCCUUGGAUAAGAAAUUCACAUGGGAAGAUAUGUGAAACAAAAGGAAGAGAUAUGAUCAACACCGAAGCUUGAAAUUAAUCCAUCGGAGAAGAAAAGAGAACGAAGAAUAAUAAACUUGAAGCUCCGUUAGUAUCUUUCUGAGAAUCACCGGAUAAGAACAUUGACGGGAAAAGAAUGGAGAAUCUUCCCAUCCAUAAGAUGGAUACUUGAUUAAGAUAUUUGAGUCCUUGAAGAAAAAGGGUGGGAGGACGGGAAAACAAAGGCAACUUGGGGAAGAUGGAACAAACACCGUUGAAAAAAAACUUAGAAUUGAUCUUGCGGAUGUUGAAAAUGAACGGAUCCACUUGAAGAAAAGCACACCGGUUGGAAAGAAUUGACAUGACAAUCUCGAUGAUCAAAAGGAUUAGCACACCCAUAGAAAUAUGAGAACACCGCUUGAAAGGUAUGAAAUCAACACUUGACAUUGAAGCAACUCAAAUACCGCAACUCAAAACAAAACAAAUGAUUGGCUUGCAGAAAUAAGCCGGAACAAAUACAUAUGAUAGAGAUUUACCCAAUCCCAUAUCAUGCAUCUAUCGAAAAGAUAUUCUAGGGGCUACUUGAAUUCCCACCUAUAAACUCCUGAAACUUUCUGGUUAUGCAAUCUGGUGUUGGGGAUACAGGAGAAGCAAUAUAUAUCUCACCCAAAACUAACAAUCCCUACAUCCAAGCUGUAUCCAUCCGUCAACACAUAACCAAUAAACCUUCGGAAAUCGUGUACCUCAACCUUCGAAAAGCAUCCCUUAUACGAGCUAUGGCAAUACUCCCGAACUCCCGCCCCAGUACUAGGUGGCGUCGAGGUUAUCUCACCAACAACUGCAUAAAAAAGAUUUUCGAUGUCGGCAAAACUCAGGUAUUCCAGAACUGCAACGAUAAAAUUAUGACGACAACACCUCGGAGCUCAACUCCCCGGGUCACUGCCACAUAAAAGACAAGAGGCACCAAGAACAAUGUUCUCGUCACAAAACCAUCAGAACGAUUUCAAGAUACCCGCGUGAUCCCUAAAUUUUUUUUAGUGAAAUUUGAGGAGAGGAAAGUCAAAACAUCUACGUCAGGAGACCUCACCAGAGCGACGAAGGGACUGAGAAGUAAAAAGAAUCCUACUCUCCGAUAUAUAUAAUCCUAAGACUCAAAAAUAGUUUUCUUCUAGACUCAACAACGGCCAACAAUCAAGGGGACAACUAUUGUCGGUCGAGGCUCUGAUACCAACUUGUCACGCCCAAUAUGUGACCCUAUCCAAAAGGAACUCGAAGGUCCCACCAAGGAUAGACCCGCAUAUUAAAACGCUUUUGCAAGGUGAAUAUCAUUACAUCAACAUUACAUAAUAGAUAGGAAUACAUACAAAAGGCAUAUAACGCCACACGAAUACAACAUCACAAUACAUAAGAGCAUCAUCCGACUAUGGAUGAAACACAAACAGAAACUCAAACGACAUCCACCCUGCUAGCCCAGGCUGCCGACCUGGAACCUAUCCCCUGAUCAAAGAAGGAGCAUAAGAACUCCAAAACAAACAAACAUCGCUCUCGCGUCAUGAUCAUCGCAUAACCUGUACCAGCAACUGUUGUUGUAGUAAUCUGUGAGCCACGAGGACUGGUCAACGCGCUCGAAGACCGGAGCGAAGCAGGCAGGGGCUUGGCGCAGCGGCUUCAGACGAAGCAAGGUGCGGCAGCGGUCGCUCGAACCGGACGAAGCAGAGGCGAGGCUGGGCAUGGCGGCGCGGGCUUGGCGAGGCGGCGGAGCCGAGGGCCUUGGGCGACGGCGGCGGACUUGGCGGGGCGAUGGAGGUGGCAGGACUGCAGCGCCACGGCGGAUCCGGGGCAUCGGUGCUCCUACGAACAGCAGCGACGGGCGGAGCACCUCCUGUGCACUUGAAGAAAGAGAGGGAGAGGGAUUUUUCAGAGAGGAUGGAGCAGAACGAAAAAGAAGAAAGAAGAGGGAAGGCGAGGGCGAUGGCCACGCGACCUGGGGCCUGAUGAUGCUCGCCGGCGGUGCGGGAACCGAAGGGCGCCGGCGCAACGUUGAUCUAGGGGAGGCAGGAGCAAGGCAAGCCGACUGCUUGGCCUUGGGACGGCGGAUCGGCGCGGCCCACUGGCGCUGAAGGUGCGCAUGAGCGAGGCCGUCGUCCUCCUGCAUCAAAGCAGAGGAUGCAGGGGAAGCAGAGGCCGGCAGCGAGGGAUGCGGGGUCACGAGGCGGCGGCGCUCAGGCAGACGGGAGGAGCGGGCGACGGGGCUGGUCCUGCUGGCUGGCGAAGAAGGCAGGGAGGAGGCGACCAUGGAUCGAGAGGAGAAGGUGGGCGAUGGGAUCUAGAGGCUGUAGGUGGCGAGCGAUGGUUGAGGAGGGAUGGAUCCCAAGGGGGAUUUGGAAGGUGGCGGCGGGUGAUGGGACAAGGGAGCUAGAUUUUAGGGUUGGACUAGGGGUGGACUAUAUAUAGUGAAAUGAGGGGAAUUUUGGACAUCCGAUUAAAAUCGGACGGUCGAGAAUAAAAUGCUUCGGGAGUCCAAACAAAUAAACAAAGAUAUUUUAGGGACGUUUGGGGAUGAACCGGAUCCAACGGUGGUGACUGAGCAGGUCGGGUUCGGGGUAGUUUUCGGACGCGCGAGAGGGGGUCUGCACUGUGCAAAGAGGGGUCAAACAGUCGGGCAACAAAAGAAUGGUUGGUUUAAGAAAGGUCAACGGACGCAACGGAGAGAAGCGAGAAGCGGCAACUACGAGCGGAUGCAAGUUUUAAGAAAAGAAAGCAAAUGCAAAGCGCAUGAUGCCAGGAUGAAAUGCAACAACAACAUCAAUAAACACACGACGGUCACGCAAAACAUGAAAGGCAUCUGGAGCGCCGGUCUUGAAGCGUUACAGUACAUCAGCAAGAAUACAGGAAAGCUAUAAAUGAGUCAGUAGAAUACAAAGAAUGUAGGAUACCAUACAUUCUUUCUUCUUGCAAGAACCCUUCACUUUGCGAGCACGUUGUUCAGUUGCCUUCAUCUCUUCUUCAGUUGCUAUGUGCUCGAGAAAAAGCAAGGUGGCAAGCUUCAUUAAAGCAUUCAGGUUAACAAUAAACCCGGUCAUCGUGUAAUAUUGAAAGAAUAAAUGGCAGAUUCAUGUGCCUUAGGCUGGUCAUAGUGGGGAGUAACUUAGAAUAGUAACAUGCAUACGUUACUACUCUAUGUUACUACCCUUAUAGUGGGAAGUGUCAUAUGUGUAGUAACAUAACAUGUUCAUUUAUUGUCUUGUAGACUCAUUUGCAUUGGAAAGCGCCAUGUGAUGGUAACAUAUUAGGUUACUCUAUUUGCCUCUCUCAUUAACUACUUGCCACAUCAAUAUUUUUGCUUAUGUGACAUCUAUGUUACUACCUAUGUUACUCGCACUAUGACCAGCCUUAGGAGUUAUGUGCAAGAGAAUAAUUUAGUACCUUAAUCAGACUUGACAAACACUGAAAUCACUCAGGAUAAACACCUGUUGGUCCCUCACAUGCUCUUCUCGGUCAUUAUCUUGUUUUAUGCGCAAGAUUCCUUGGGCCUAAAAAUGCAAAACUUAAAUCAGAAAAUUGAUUCAGGCAUUACAGGUAUACAUAAGGACCAAAGUAUGGUGUCUAACCUUGCCGCCUCCCUAAGCACACAAC
Molecule: long non-coding RNA, 11014 nt
Filed under: Triticum aestivum (bread wheat)
Lineage: Eukaryota; Viridiplantae; Streptophyta; Magnoliopsida; Poales; Poaceae
Description: long non-coding RNA (TAES_LNC022324)
Source: RNAcentral